AAUAAGUGUUUUACUGCACUUUUUAAACAAGUACUCACCUUGUGUGCAAUGUUUGCUGUCGAGUCGUUCACACGUCGCGACAGCAUAAUACCAACCCUUUAUUGUAAUUUUUUUGUCUGAAGCUAUUUCGAAUAUAUAAUUCUAAAUACAACUUUCAACAACGGAUCUCUUGGCUCU
This 177-nucleotide unclassified non-coding RNA is filed under the name rhizosphere metagenome. RNAcentral's name for it is "partial ribosomal RNA internal transcribed spacer region". The record is from RNAcentral.